RNAcentral lists this ribosomal RNA (253 nucleotides) under uncultured bacterium. Its description in RNAcentral is "partial 16S ribosomal RNA". It matches the Rfam family "Bacterial small subunit ribosomal RNA", at positions 524 to 776 of the family's 1533-position model. The record is from RNAcentral.
GACAGAGGUCCCAAGCGUUAGGCGGAAUCACUGGGCUUAAAGCGUGUGUAGGCGGAUGCCUAAGUCCCUUGUGAAAUCCCACGGCUCACCCGUGGAACUGCUUGGUAUACUGGGUGUCUUGAGCCACUUAGGGGCUACCGGAACAAAUGGUGGAGCGGUGAAAUGCGUAGAUAUCAUUUGGAACGCCAAUGGUGAAAACAGGUAGCUGGGAGUGUGCUGACGCUGAGACACGAAAGCCAGGGGAGCAAACGGG